AAACACUGGCCCAGCUUGGCAACCAAGCCCUGGUUUACCACAACAAGGGAUACCGGGUUCACAGCAUGCAAUGCCUCCUACAAGGAUGAAGCCACCCUUGCCAGCUCCAUUGCCUUCUAAGACUGAUGAUACAGUACAGCCUGCACAACAAAAGUCAAAAGUGCCAGUAUUGGAGAAGCACUUGGUGAACCAGCUAAGUAAGGAGGAACAAAGUGCGCUGAACUCAAAAUUCCAGGAAGCAUCAGAUGCAGAUAAAAAGGUUCAAG
Molecule: unclassified non-coding RNA, 266 nt
Filed under: Hevea brasiliensis (rubber tree)
Lineage: Eukaryota; Viridiplantae; Streptophyta; Magnoliopsida; Malpighiales; Euphorbiaceae
Source: RNAcentral